AAGGGUUUAAGAUAUAAUUAAUCUUUAUGCCUUUUAAGCAUAUAAAGCUUUUGCAACUCUUC
Molecule: transfer RNA, 62 nt
Filed under: Dermatophagoides farinae (American house dust mite)
Lineage: Eukaryota; Metazoa; Arthropoda; Arachnida; Sarcoptiformes; Pyroglyphidae
Description: tRNA-Lys
Source: RNAcentral